Molecule: microRNA precursor, 74 nt
Organism: Alligator mississippiensis (American alligator)
Lineage: Eukaryota; Metazoa; Chordata; Crocodylia; Alligatoridae
Rfam family: mir-551 microRNA precursor family
Source: Rfam
UAACCUUGGAAAUCAAGGAUGGGUGAAGCCUGUUGGAAUAACUCUAGGCGACCCAUACUUGGUUUCAAGGGUCA